RNAcentral lists this microRNA (23 nucleotides) under Chrysemys picta bellii (western painted turtle). RNAcentral describes it as "Cpi-Mir-9583_5p (mature (co-guide))". Lineage: Eukaryota; Metazoa; Chordata; Testudines; Emydidae. RNAcentral also lists the same sequence under 1 other name. The record is from RNAcentral.
CAGCAGUCGGAGAAGAAGAGACG